CAAGGAAGCGCAGAAGAGACAGGGGGUGUGGAAGAAAAGAGACUGAAGGAGGGAGAAAACAAACUCCAGAAAGCUACAAGAGAACAAGGAUUAUCUUGGCACCACUGCAUCUGUGCUUGGUCUGAGCUGGAUAUGACCCAACCCUGGCCCACACUGGACGCAGCUCAGAGACACUCCUACAAGCCCCAGGAGAGUUAAGACCUCUAUUUGAGAGAUGAGGACAUGGAGAAAGUGCUGAAUCAGGACCCCGCGUUUGAGUCCCACCCCAGCCACUGGUCUCCG
Molecule: long non-coding RNA, 282 nt
Organism: Cervus elaphus (red deer)
Lineage: Eukaryota; Metazoa; Chordata; Mammalia; Artiodactyla; Cervidae
Exons: 4
Source: RefSeq, a predicted model, not a curated record